CCACUCUCCCGUUCCUGCCAUUGUAGGCGCUCCUAAAAGAACAUAAAAACAAAGCAAAUUUUUAACCUGGAGUGCACUUGCUUGGUGUUGAGAUCAGCAUCCCUAUAAUGAAAGGAAGAAACAUUGGACGGUCUAGCGGACCAAAGGGUGACAGGAAACGUAGGAGUUGGUCAGAUAAGGAGGAAGAAACUCUUAUCAUGUCCAUGAAAGAACUUGUUGCUAAUGGAUGGAAAUCGGAUAAUGGUUUUCGUAAUGGAUACAUGAAAAGGAUCGAAGAAGACUUGCGUCGGCAAAACCCGAAAACUGAUCUGUAAACUCCAAUUUCUUAAAAAUACUUUUAGACAUCAGCAACCAUAACACACCUCACCAUUUUAAUUCAAUAUGUGAUUUUUAUUUUCUUCUUAA
Molecule: long non-coding RNA, 405 nt
Organism: Salvia splendens (bonfire salvia)
Lineage: Eukaryota; Viridiplantae; Streptophyta; Magnoliopsida; Lamiales; Lamiaceae
Exons: 2
Source: RefSeq, a predicted model, not a curated record